UUCUCCUUGGUGAACCUGCGGAAGGAGCAUUAAGAGUCUGCCGAAGGGUAGACCUCCCACCCUUGUGUAUUAUUACUUUGUUGCUUUGGCGAGCUGCCUUCGGGCCUUGUAUGCUCGCCAGAGAAUACCAAAACUCUUUUUAUUAAUGUCGUCUGAGUACUAUAUAAUAGUUAAAACUUUCAACAACGGAUCUCUUGGUUCUGGCAUCGAUGAAGAACGCAGCGAAAUGCGAUAAGUAAUGUGAAUUGCAGAAUUCAGUGAAUCAUCGAAUCUUUGAACGCACAUUGCGCCCCUUGGUAUUCCGGGGGGCAUGCCUGUUCGAGCGUCAUUUCAACCCUCAAGCUUAGCUUGGUAUUGAGUCUAUGUCAGUAAUGGCAGGCUCUAAAAUCAGUGGCGGCGCCGCUGGGUCCUGAACGUAGUAAUAUCUCUCGUUACAGGUUCUCGGUGUGCUUCUGCCAAAACCCAAAUUUUUCUAUGGUGACCUCGGAUCAGGUAGAGACACCCACAGAACUUAAGCAUAUCAUAAGGGGGGAAGGAAA
RNAcentral lists this ribosomal RNA (539 nucleotides) under Botrytis cinerea. RNAcentral's name for it is "eukaryotic LSU rRNA". The stretch from base 175 to 328 matches the Rfam family "5.8S ribosomal RNA". The record is from RNAcentral. Lineage: Eukaryota; Fungi; Ascomycota; Leotiomycetes; Helotiales; Sclerotiniaceae.